GGGUCAGUAGGUUGGUCGUGCCACCGGUACGUACUGUUCUCACUGAUUCCUCCUUCCUGAAGAACCGUAAUGCCAUUAAUUUGGUGUUGCGGGGAAACAGGACUGUUACUUUGAAAAAAUUAGAGUGUUUAAAGCAAGCUAACGCUUGAAUACAUUAGCAUGGAAUAAUGAAUUAGGACGAUCGAUCCUAUUUUGUUGGUUUCUAGGAUUGACGUA
RNAcentral lists this ribosomal RNA (216 nucleotides) under Glomeromycotina sp. RNAcentral's name for it is "partial small subunit ribosomal RNA". The stretch from base 37 to 216 matches the Rfam family "Eukaryotic small subunit ribosomal RNA", at positions 683 to 864 of the family's 1831-position model. Lineage: Eukaryota; Fungi; Glomeromycota. The record is from RNAcentral.